GUAGUGGGGGACAACAGUUGGAAACAGCUGCUAAUACCGCAUACGCCCUAUGGGGAAAGCGGGGGAUCUUCGGACCUCGCGCUAUUGGAGGAGCCUGCGUCGGAUUAGCUAGUUGGUGGGGUAAAAGCCUACCAAGGCGACGAUCCGUAGCUGGUCUGAGAGGAUGAUCAGCCACACUGGAACUGAGACACGGUCCAGACUCCUACGGGAGGCAGCAGUGGGGAAUAUUGCGCAAUGGGGGCAACCCUGACGCAGCCAUGCCGCGUGUGUGAAGAAGGCCCUAGGGUUGUAAAGCACUUUCAAAAGCGAGGAAAAGCUGAUGCUUAAUACGUAUCAGCCCUGACGUUAACUUUAGAAGAAGCACCGGCUAACUCCGUGCCAGCAGCCGCGGUAAUACGGAGGGUGCGAGCGUUAAUCGGAAUUACUGGGCGUAAAGCGCGCGUAGGGGUUAAUUAAGUCAGCUGUGAAAGCCCCGGGCUUAACCUGGGAACUGCAGUUGAUACUGGUCGACUAGAGUGCGAGAGAGGGAGGUAGAAUUCCACGUGUAGCGGUGAAAUGCGUAGAUAUGUGGAGGAAUACCGGUGGCGAAGGGGCCUCCUGGCUCGACACUGACGCUGAGGUGCGAAAGGUGGGGAGCAAACAGGAUUAGAUACCCUGGUAGUCCACGCCGUAAACGAUGUCUACUAGCCGUUGGGGUACUUGAGACCUUAGUGGCGCAGUAACGCACUGAGUAGACCGCCUGGGGAGUACGGCCGCAAGUUAAAACUCAAAUGAAUUGACGGGGGCCC
Molecule: ribosomal RNA, 788 nt
Filed under: uncultured bacterium
Lineage: Bacteria
Description: bacterial SSU rRNA
Rfam family: Bacterial small subunit ribosomal RNA
Source: RNAcentral